This 24-nucleotide non-coding RNA is filed under the name Oryctolagus cuniculus (rabbit). RNAcentral also lists the same sequence under 1 other name. The record is from RNAcentral. Lineage: Eukaryota; Metazoa; Chordata; Mammalia; Lagomorpha; Leporidae.
AGGGGUGAACCGGCCCAGGUCGGA